AUAGCGUAUAUUAAAGUUGUUGCAGUUAAAAAGCUCGUAGUUGAACUUCAGACCUGGCCGGAUGGUCCGCCUCACGGCGUGUACUGUCUGGCCGGGCCUUACCUCUUGGUGAGCCGGCGUGCCCUUUAUUGGUGUGCGUCGGGGAACCAGGAUCUUUACCUUGAGAAAAUUAGAGUGUUCAAAGCAGGCCUAUGCCCGAAUACAUUAGCAUGGAAUAAUAGAAUAGGACGUGCGGUUCUAUUUUGUUGGUUUCUAGAGUCGCCGUAAUGAUUAAUAGGGAUAGUUGGGGGCAUUGGUAUUAAGUCGCUAGAGGUGAAAUUCUUGGAUUGACUUAAGACCAACUAUUG
RNAcentral lists this ribosomal RNA (347 nucleotides) under uncultured eukaryote. RNAcentral's name for it is "SSU rRNA". It matches the Rfam family "Eukaryotic small subunit ribosomal RNA", at positions 594 to 945 of the family's 1831-position model. The record is from RNAcentral.